Small nuclear RNA from Indicator indicator, 166 nucleotides. RefSeq annotates it as U1 spliceosomal RNA. The record is from RefSeq and is a predicted model, not a curated record. The transcript has a single exon. Lineage: Eukaryota; Metazoa; Chordata; Aves; Piciformes; Indicatoridae.
AUACUUACCUGGCAGGGGAGACACCAUGAUCAGGCAGGUGGUUUUCCUAGGCUUAUCCUUUGCACUCCAGGUUUGCUGACCCCUGCGAUUUCCCCAAAUGCGGAAACUUGGCUGCAUAAUUUGUGGUAGUGGAGGACUGUGAAAAAAUAGCAUUGCUGUGCUUUUU